CAAGCAGUUCAGUUUGGUGGUUUGAUGGUUUGUGAUCAUCCAUCUUCCUCUUGAUUAUAUUCCAGAGGUUUUCAAUUUGGUAAAAUCAAAGUUUUGAAAACUCAAUUUUUAAGUGCUCUCUUAUUUUUUUCCAAAGCUGUAUACAACGAGAUAUGCAAAGUAGAGGAUGAAAGCUCAGGUCACAUGGUUUAUAAAGGAAUAAAUAACAUGUUACAGAUGUUCUACAGAAGAUGAAUCAAUUAAUUAAACAGACAGGGACAGAUUAAAGGGUAAUAGUAUUUUAUUACAACACAGUAUGUUACUCCUCCUCCGCAGCGUUCAGAAGCUAAAGACAGCAGUUCAUUCUUUCUGUCGUUUUUCUACAUAUUGCACAUAUUGUUUAUUAAAAACGAGGACUAUGUUUGUAGUUGAACAGGGGGGACUUUAACAUCUGCAACAGUAACUUAUUGCUAACAUAAGAGUGAAUCAGACUGGGCAAUAAUAAUAAUUUUAAUAAUAAUAAUAAUAAUAAUAAGGAAAUAUGUAUUAUUCUACACCACUCUACCCAACUCUGUAAAUUUUCUUUUUGAUCUGUGAGGAAUAAAACCAUAACUGAACUGAAA
This is a long non-coding RNA of Astyanax mexicanus (Mexican tetra), 602 nucleotides long. RefSeq lists it as uncharacterized. The record is from RefSeq and is a predicted model, not a curated record. The transcript has 2 exons. NCBI's taxonomy places the organism in Eukaryota, Metazoa, Chordata, Actinopteri, Characiformes, Acestrorhamphidae.